UACGUAGGGUGCAAGCGUUGUCCGGAAUUAUUGGGCGUAAAGAGCUUGUAGGCGGUUUGUCGCGUCUGCUGUGAAAUUUCGGGGCUCAACCCCGAACUUGCAGUGGGUACGGGCAGACUAGAGUGUGGUAGGGGAGACUGGAAUUCCUGGUGUAGCGGUGAAAUGCGCAGAUAUCAGGAGGAACACCGAUGGCGAAGGCAGGUCUCUGGGCCGAUACUGACACUGAGGAGCGAAAGCGUGGGGAGCGAACAGG
Molecule: ribosomal RNA, 253 nt
Filed under: uncultured bacterium
Lineage: Bacteria
Description: partial 16S ribosomal RNA
Rfam family: Bacterial small subunit ribosomal RNA
Source: RNAcentral